This is a non-coding RNA of Nicotiana tabacum (common tobacco), 396 nucleotides long. The record is from RefSeq and is a predicted model, not a curated record. NCBI's taxonomy places the organism in Eukaryota, Viridiplantae, Streptophyta, Magnoliopsida, Solanales, Solanaceae.
GGAAAAGGCAAAAUUGUGGAUUAAAUUGGAGCAAGACGAGGAUAUGAGACAUGUACUAGUGGAGAACCUAUCAUCACAUACCCACGUCAUCCCGAAGCAUAGUGCUGUAGUAUUGGGCGCCAUCACGACCUAUAGGUGAAAUUGGAUCGUGACAACCAUGGCAAGCCAUAUACCGACUUACCACGCUCAUUGCUUGUGAAAUGUCUGGACGUGUACAAACCAUUGCAUACAUAAUACUGCCGACUGCACUGGAAUAAGGAACCUGUGCCAUAUACCUCUCUUCUACCUCUGACUGCGGGGACUGAGCAGCUGAUAACUUGGACUGAGCAGCUGAUAACUUAAAAUGAGCAGCAAGAAGGGUACUAACUGGUUUAGCACCUUUCAUGCCAAACCUCU